CUGAGAAGAGCCCUGAGAGAGGAGCCGCGCUGAGAAGAGCCGCGCCGAGGGGAGCCUCCGCUGGUGUGCUGCCAGUGUCGCCUCUGCUCUGCUUCUGUGUCCGCUGCAUGGCUUGUGUCGCCCGCCGCUCAGCAUCGUCUGUGGCGCUGCAGGAGGAGAGCUAACGCUAACGUCAACCCAACCUGUCUGCUGCGAGGCAACGUUUCACCAAGAGCCACGUUGUUGUCUGGUGGCGGAUGUCUCGUCGCCUCCCUCUGAGGUUGGAGGCCAGUGGGAGCGGAGAGGAGGCUCUGCAGCAGCAGUGAUGCGGACUACAGCGGCCGGCUGCAGGAUGAGCGUGGGCGCGCUUCUCAACGGGCUGCUGGUCUCCGUAGUCGCAGCUCUGCUUUGGAAGUAUUCCAAGCUGAGUGAGCACGCUGCCCUGCUGGAGGAAGAGCUGCACAUGACACGGCAGUCCCAGGAGCUUUCGCAGGCCCACAUCGACUACCAUGUUGCCCUGCAGGCCCUUCAGGAGCACGGCACCCGCAUGGUCUGCACCGGCAAGAUGCACACCGACCGCAUCUGCCGCUUUGACUACCUCUGCUACUGCUCGGAGGCAGAGGAGUUUGUGUUCUUCCACUCCAACUCCUCUGUCAUGUUGCCCAACCUGGGGUCGAGGCGCUUCCAACCUGCCCUGCUGGACCUGUCCUCAGUAGAGGACCACAACACCCAGUACUUUAACUUUUUAGAGCUCCCAGUGGCUGCUUUAAAGUUCAUGCCCAAGCCUGUGUUCGUACCAGAUGUGACACUAAUCCUUAACCGGUUUAAUCCAGACAACCUAAUGCAUGUGUUCCAUGAUGACCUGAUCCCAGCCUUCUACACUAUGAAACAGUAUUCCGACUUGGAUGAUGAGGCGCGCUUGGUUUUUAUGGAGGGCUGGGCUGAAGGCCCACACUUUGACCUCUACAGACUUCUCAGCAGCAAGCAGCCGCUGCUCAAAGAACAGCUGAGGAACUUUGGCAAGCUCAUGUGUUUUACUAAAUCUUACGUUGGCCUGUCCAAGAUGACCACCUGGUACCAGUACGGUUUUGUUCAACCCCAGGGGCCCAAAGCCAACAUGUUGGUCUCCGGAAAUGAGAUCCGGCAGUUUGCCAGGGCUCUAAUGGAGAAAAUGAACAUCACAAGGGGGGAGGAAAUGAAGAAGGAUGGAGGGAAUGCUGAAGAUGAUAAAGAGAAAAAGGCUGAAUACAUAGUUGUGUUUAGUCGUUCAGCAACAAGGCUGAUCGUGAAUGAAGCGGAGCUAAUCAUGGCGCUGGCCCAGGAGUUCCAGAUGAGAGUUGUGACAGUGUCCCUGGAGGAACAGUCUUUCCCCGGUAUCGUCCAGGUGAUCAGCAGGGCUUCCAUGUUGGUCAGUAUGCAUGGGGCUCAGCUGAUCACCUCUCUCUUCCUUCCCAGAGGAGCUGCCGUGGUGGAGCUGUUCCCUUUUGCAGUGAACCCAGAGCAGUACACCCCAUAUAAAACCCUAGCCACCCUCCCAGGCAUGGACCUUCACUACGUCUCCUGGAGGAACACCAAGGAGGAGAACACCAUCACCCACCCAGACCGACCCUGGGAACAAGGGGGCAUCGCCCACUUGGAGAAGGAGGAGCGAGAGCGAAUACUGGCGAGUAAAGAUGUCCCCCGGCACCUGUGCUGCCGCAACCCAGAGUGGCUCUACCGGAUCUACCAGGACACUUUGGUGGACAUCCCUUCCUUUGUGGAAGUCCUCAAAGAGGGCAUGAAGACAAAGCCCAGCGUGAAGAAGUCAAAGUCGACCAGCACAGUCCACCCAGGCCGGGUCAGAGAAGCCCAGUGUCAGACCUUAGUCCAAACCCCUAACGAGGCUAAACUCACCGUCUCCUGGCAGAUCCCGUGGAAUCUGAAGUACCUGAAGGUGAGAGAGGUGAAGUACGAGGUGUGGAUCCAGGAGCAGGGAGAGAACACCUACAUGCCUUACAUCCUCCCCCAGCAGAACUACACCUUUUCAGAGAACAUUAAGCCCUUCACCACCUACCUGGUGUGGGUCAGGUGCAUCUUCAACAAGAACCUCCUGGGCCCCUUCGCAGAUGUUCUGAUGUGCAGGACCUAACCCAAACACUUCUACACAAAGCUUGUUCUAGACUAUCAGUUGGAACAGUGGAGUGGAGUGUUCGCUUACAGUUUGUCCAGUUAUUUGUCAUAUCCGUCCAGUCCUAGAGCAGGCUGCUGAACUCUUGCCCAGCACUGUUUCCUUGGCCAACACAGACAACAUAGAUACUUCUGCUAGAACUGCAAAAGACUGAACCCCAGGGUCAGAACUCAACGGCAUCGGCCGUUAAUGAAUGGAAAGUGUAUUUCCUGUACCUAUGAAAGAAGUGAAAGUGCUCUACUGAAAAUACCAGAACUUAAAUCAGCAGAUUUAUUUAUGUGCAAAUAAUAUAUAACAUGUUUUUUACAUAUAAGUCCAAACACUGGUUCUUUACCUUUUACAGUAUGCAAUAUAGCUUUCCUGUGAAGAUCAUAAAAAGAUUUUAGACUAGCAAGAUUUGUAAUGUUUUCUGACUUAUCCAGUGUCUCCUGUGUGCGUGAUACCUGUGUGGCUUAGUUUACCUACCAGCUGUCUGAUUCCAUACACCAUUAUCUGCCGAACCUAGCCAAAACCAAAGCAACAUUUUCCAUCAUUCACAGCCUAUUACUUUUUCAUGUUCUACAUCUUUCACACUUCUAAUGUUGGCUCAGAUUUAUACAGUUUUAAAUCUAGUCUCUAAAGACAUUGUAAAGGAUUGGUGUAAGAGAACUGUCAAGCAAGAGUUUUCAUGAAUGCCACAGUAAUCAAUGUUUCUGACAUAGGUGGGAGCAUUUUGUGAUGAAAGAUCUUCAAACUGUUCUCUUCCAAGUGUUUGUGUUUCCACAGUGCCCAGCCGCAAAUAAUCAGUUUUACUGCGUAAAUAAAAGAUUUCUCUCUAAUUGGCACUAAUUACAACCAUAACUAUUAUAAUUUGAGUGGAGAGUGAAUUGAGUACGCCAGGCUAUAAUUAGUAGACAGUCAGAUUUUACUGCAUUUCCAUUAUGAUAAGAAGGCCUGUUGCUGCGUAGGAUUAACUAAAAUGAAAUUCCCAGCAAUGUGUCUUAUUUUUCUCCGAGGUUUUUCAGCUGUUAAGAAGAAUGUUGAGAUUGAAACAGACGUGAAGCUGGCUGUUUCUAAGAAAGUGCUGCUUGUUGGUUGACUCUGUGUAUGUGUGUGUGUGUGUGUGUGUGUGUGUGUUGUUGUU
Sander lucioperca (pikeperch) is the source of this 3269-nucleotide RNA transcript. It is a transcript of the gene named protein O-linked mannose N-acetylglucosaminyltransferase 2 (beta 1,4-), with no coding region annotated. The transcript is spliced from 3 exons. The record is from RefSeq and is a predicted model, not a curated record. NCBI's taxonomy places the organism in Eukaryota, Metazoa, Chordata, Actinopteri, Perciformes, Percidae.